GAUGAACGCUGGCGGCGUGCCUAAUACAUGCAAGUCGAGCGAACGGACGAGAAGCUUGCUUCUUUGAUGUUAGCGGAGGACGGGUGAGAAACACGUGGAUAACCUACCUAUAAGACUGGGAUAACUUCGGGAAACCGGAGAUAAUCCCGGAUGAUAUUUUGAACCGCAUGGUUCAAAGGUGAAAGACGGUCUUGCUGUCACUUAUAGAUGGAUACGCGCUGGAUGAGCUAGUUGGUAAGGUCACGGCCUAUGAAGGCAACGAUGCAUAGCCGACCUCAGAGGGGGAUCGGCGACACUGGAGCUUGGCCGCCGUCCUGGCUCCUACGGUAGGCAGCAGUCUGGUAUCUUCCGCAGUGGUCGGAAGCCUUACGGAGCGACGCCGCGCGAGUGAUGGAGGUCCUCGGUUCGUAAAGCUCUGUUAUGAGGGGAGAACAUAUUUGUAAGUAACUGUACACUUCUUGACGGUACCUAGUCAGAAAGCCACGGCUAACUACGUG
This 497-nucleotide ribosomal RNA is filed under the name uncultured bacterium. Its description in RNAcentral is "partial 16S ribosomal RNA". It matches the Rfam family "Bacterial small subunit ribosomal RNA", at positions 28 to 507 of the family's 1533-position model. The record is from RNAcentral.